RNAcentral lists this ribosomal RNA (200 nucleotides) under uncultured bacterium. Its description in RNAcentral is "partial 16S ribosomal RNA". It matches the Rfam family "Bacterial small subunit ribosomal RNA", at positions 8 to 217 of the family's 1533-position model. The record is from RNAcentral.
AGAGUUUGAUCCUGGCUCAGGACUAACGCUGGCGGCGUGCCUAACACAUGCAAGUCGAACGGGGUAGCAAUACCCAGUGGCAGACGGGUGAGUAACACGUGGUCAACCUGCCUUUGCGUGGGGGAUAACUAGCCGAAAGGUUAGCUAAUACCGCAUACGAUCGCUUCGGGGCAUCUCGAGGCGAUGAAAGGAGCAAUCCG